RNAcentral lists this ribosomal RNA (915 nucleotides) under uncultured bacterium. RNAcentral's name for it is "bacterial SSU rRNA". It matches the Rfam family "Bacterial small subunit ribosomal RNA", at positions 10 to 915 of the family's 1533-position model. The record is from RNAcentral.
AGUUUGAUCCUGGCUCAGGAUGAACGCUAGCUACAGGCUUAACACAUGCAAGUCGAGGGGAAACGAUAGAGAAAGCUUGCUUUUUCUAGGCGUCGACCGGCGCACGGGUGAGUAACGCGUAUCCAACCUGCCUAUCACUUGGGGAUAACUUUGCGAAAGUAAGACUAAUACCCAAUGACGUCUCUAGAAGACAUCUGAAGGAGAUUAAAGAUUUAUCGGUGAUGGAUGGGGAUGCGUCUGAUUAGCUUGUUGGCGGGGUAACGGCCCACCAAGGCGACGAUCAGUAGGGGUUCUGAGAGGAAGGUCCCCCACAUUGGAACUGAGACACGGUCCAAACUCCUACGGGAGGCAGCAGUGAGGAAUAUUGGUCAAUGGGCGAGAGCCUGAACCAGCCAAGUAGCGUGCAGGAUGACGGCCCUAUGGGUUGUAAACUGCUUUUAUAAGGGAAUAAAGUGAGUCUCGUGAGACUUUUUGCAUGUACCUUAUGAAUAAGGACCGGCUAAUUCCGUGCCAGCAGCCGCGGUAAUACGGAAGGUCCGGGCGUUAUCCGGAUUUAUUGGGUUUAAAGGGAGCGUAGGCCGGAGAUUAAGCGUGUUGUGAAAUGUAGACGCUCAACGUCUGCACUGCAGCGCGAACUGGUUUCCUUGAGUACGCACAAAGUGGGCGGAAUUCGUGGUGUAGCGGUGAAAUGCUUAGAUAUCACGAAGAACUCCGAUUGCGAAGGCAGCUCACUGGAGCGCAACUGACGCUGAAGCUCGAAAGUGCGGGUAUCGAACAGGAUUAGAUACCCUGGUAGUCCGCACGGUAAACGAUGGAUGCCCGCUGUUGGUCUGAAUAGGUCAGCGGCCAAGCGAAAGCAUUAAGCAUCCCACCUGGGGAGUACGCCGGCAACGGUGAAACUCAAAGGAAUUGACG